UACGUAGGGGCCGAGCGUUGUCCGGAGUUAUUGGGCGUAAAGCGCGCGCAGGCGGCCUCGCGCGCCCGACGUGAAAUCCCUCGGCUUAACCGGGGAACUGCGUCUGAUACUGGAUGGCUUGAGUUUGGGAGAGGGAUGCGGAAUUCCAGGUGUAGCGGUGAGGUGCGUAGAUAUCUGGAGGAACAACGGUGGCGAAGGCGGCAUCCUGGACCAACACUGACGCUGAGGAGCGAAAGCCAGGGGAGCAAACGGG
This 253-nucleotide ribosomal RNA is filed under the name uncultured bacterium. RNAcentral's name for it is "partial 16S ribosomal RNA". It matches the Rfam family "Bacterial small subunit ribosomal RNA", at positions 524 to 776 of the family's 1533-position model. The record is from RNAcentral.